This 225-nucleotide ribosomal RNA is filed under the name uncultured bacterium. RNAcentral describes it as "partial 16S ribosomal RNA". It matches the Rfam family "Bacterial small subunit ribosomal RNA", at positions 28 to 262 of the family's 1533-position model. The record is from RNAcentral.
GAUGAACGCUGGCGGCGUGCCUAAUACAUGCAAGUCGAACGGAAGUAGUAAUACUUUAGUGGCGACCGGGUGCGUAACACGUAGCUGACCUGCCCCUCAGCGGGGGACAACGCCGGGAAACGUGGCGCUAAUACCGCAUAGCUUCGGGAUAAUUAGAAAGUCCUGAAUAAACUUACGGGGCGUGAGGGAGGGGCUGCGGCCCAUCAGGUAGUUGGUGAGGUAGAA